UUGGGAAUAUUGGACAAUGGAGGAAACUCUGAUCCAGUGACGCCGCGUGAAGGAAGAAGGUCUUCGGAUUGUAAACUUAUUUUAUCAGGGAAGAAGAAAGUGACUGUACCUGAAGAAGAAGGACCGGCUAACUACGUGCCAGCAGCCGCGGUAAUACGUAGGGUCCAAGCGUUAUCCGGAUUUACUGGGUGUAAAGGGCGAGUAGACGGCAUAGCAAGUCAGAUGUGAAAACUUAGGGCUCAACCUUAAGCGUGCAUCUGAAACUGUUAAGCUAGAGUGCAGAAGAGGUAAGCGGAAUUCCUAGUGUAGCGGUGAAAUGCGUAGAUAUUAGGAGGAACACCAGUGGCGAAGGCGGCUUACUGGGCUGUAACUGACGUUGAGGAGCGAAAGUGUGGGGAGCAAACAGG
RNAcentral lists this ribosomal RNA (407 nucleotides) under uncultured bacterium. RNAcentral's name for it is "bacterial SSU rRNA". It matches the Rfam family "Bacterial small subunit ribosomal RNA", at positions 355 to 776 of the family's 1533-position model. The record is from RNAcentral.